GGAGAGGUGACCGAGUGGCCGAAGGUGCUCGCCUGCUAAGCGAGUGUAGGAUUACCUACCGAGGGUUCGAAUCCCUCCCUCUCCG
Molecule: transfer RNA, 85 nt
Filed under: Pseudomonadota bacterium
Lineage: Bacteria; Pseudomonadati; Pseudomonadota
Description: Proteobacteria bacterium tRNA-Ser
Rfam family: tRNA
About the family: Transfer RNA (tRNA) molecules are approximately 80 nucleotides in length. Their secondary structure includes four short double-helical elements and three loops (D, anti-codon, and T loops).
Source: RNAcentral